GGUGUGUGAGUGUGUGGGCGUGGAAGUCACCUGAUAACAACUACCACUGACGGGGCUCUAGAGGCUGUGGCCCCACAGCCUCUAGAGCCCCAUAAAACACCCAAAAAGAAGAAGAAGUCGUGUGCAGUGGGCGUGUCUUGAGAGGCGAGGCGGAGGAAAGUGUAGUCUGGCAUGUCUUGCUGACGGUCUUGGGGACAGUCCAGCGGUGAAGCCGAAAAGGCCCCGAUGCAGCGUGGCAGCCUCCUGCUGUGCGCCGGGCUGUAAGAGCAGGAACACUGUGGACUGCAAGCUCACCCUCCACAUGUGUCAGGUUCCUGCACAGGUGAACGGAGGUGGAGUCACGGCUUUGGGGCGGCUUGCUAAAAAGCUACAGUCACACUGACUUCACGACCUGCUAACGACCACCUGCGACCUCAAAAUGCUGCGAUUCACACCCACCGCUCCCCGACCACAUAGGUGGCAAAGUAGUCGUGCGACUGAACGGCUACCGGUGGUCGUUUAGUGUCCGUCCAGUGGGCGGCCGGACGGCAAGAUUCACACCUUGGCCUCACACCUGGAGUCAGGCCAAGACGCCCACCAUACGCUGACCGGUGGCCGACAGGCAAGGACCAGUACACGUCCUGUCGCAAUGAGGACGGCGACCUCCCUUAACGAGCUGCAGCUGACGUGUUACAGUACAUAAUAUCUUCACCCAGUUAUAUUACACAUUUCCCAUUCUUAUUUCUGUAAAUUAUUUGUAAAAAAAAGUUACUUAUAAAGGUAAUGAAAGUAUCCUGUACUUCACUGCAGCAAAAGACGGAUAUUUGUGACCCCCCCGCCGCCCCCUAUGUGCCGCAG
Molecule: long non-coding RNA, 837 nt
Organism: Eriocheir sinensis (Chinese mitten crab)
Lineage: Eukaryota; Metazoa; Arthropoda; Malacostraca; Decapoda; Varunidae
Exons: 4
Source: RefSeq, a predicted model, not a curated record